This 457-nucleotide ribosomal RNA is filed under the name uncultured Thiobacillus sp. Its description in RNAcentral is "bacterial SSU rRNA". It matches the Rfam family "Bacterial small subunit ribosomal RNA", at positions 919 to 1382 of the family's 1533-position model. Lineage: Bacteria; Pseudomonadati; Pseudomonadota; Betaproteobacteria; Nitrosomonadales; Thiobacillaceae. The record is from RNAcentral.
ACCCGCACAAGCGGUGGAUGAUGUGGAUUAAUUCGAUGCAACGCGAAGAACCUUACUACCCUUGACAUGUCCGGAACUUGCCAGAGAUGGCUUGGUGCCCGAAAGGGAAUCGGAACACAGGUGCUGCAUGGCUGUCGUCAGCUCGUGUCGUGAGAUGUUGGUUAAGUCCCGCAACGAGCGCAACCCUUAUCAUUAGUUGCUACGCAAGGGCACUCUAAUGAGACUGCCGGUGACAAACCGGAGGAAGUGGGGGAUGACGUCAAGUCCUCAUGGCCCUUAUGGGUAGGGCUUCACACGUCAUACAAUGGUCGGUACAGAGGGUUGCCAAGCCGCGAGGCGGAGCCAAUCCCACAAAGCCGAUCGUAGUCCGGAUUGUUCUCUGCAACUCGAGAGCAUGAAGUCGGAAUCGCUAGUAAUCGCAGGUCAGCAUACUGCGGUGAAUACGUUCCCGGGUCUU